RNAcentral lists this small RNA (168 nucleotides) under Marmota monax (woodchuck). The record is from RNAcentral. Lineage: Eukaryota; Metazoa; Chordata; Mammalia; Rodentia; Sciuridae.
AUUGCUUCUCAGCCUUUUGGCUAAGAUUAAGUGUAAUACUUUUCCAAACAGUAGGUAUUAUCUGUUUAAUAAUACACAGUUUUUAAUUGUCAGAUAUGAGCUCUGCCCUAUGGUAGGAUCUUUUGAGAGAACUAGCUUGGUUCUCUUUCUGUUGUCUUUCUGUCCUGC